RNAcentral lists this transfer RNA (73 nucleotides) under Vulgatibacter incomptus. It matches the Rfam family "tRNA". From Rfam's summary of the family: Transfer RNA (tRNA) molecules are approximately 80 nucleotides in length. Lineage: Bacteria; Pseudomonadati; Myxococcota; Myxococcia; Myxococcales; Vulgatibacteraceae. The record is from Rfam by way of RNAcentral.
GCUGGUGUAGCUCAGUUGGUAGAGCAGCCGCCUUGUAAGCGGCAGGUCGCGGGUUCGAUCCCCGCCGCCAGCU